GACGAACGCUGGCGGCGUGCCUAAUACAUGCAAGUAGAACGCUGAAGGAGGAGCUUGCUUCUCUGGAUGAGUUGCGAACGGGUGAGUAACGCGUAGGUAACCUGCCUGGUAGCGGGGGAUAACUAUUGGAAACGAUAGCUAAUACCGCAUAAUAGUAGAUGUUGCAUGACAUUUGCUUAAAAGGUGCAAUUGCAUCACUACCAGAUGGACCUGCGUUGUAUUAGCUAGUUGGUGAGGUAACGGCUCACCAAGGCAACGAUACAUAGCCGACCUGAGAGGGGGAUUGGCCACCCUGGGACUGAGACACGGCCCAGACUCCUACGGGAGGCAGCAGGAGGGAAUCUUCGGCAAUGGACGGAAGUCUGACCGAGCAACGCCGCGUGAGUGAAGAAGGUUUUCGGAUCGUAAAGCUCUGUUGUAAGAGAAGAACGAGUGUGAGAGUGGAAAGUUCACACUGUGACGGUAGCUGACCAGAAAGGGACGGCUAACUACGUG
RNAcentral lists this ribosomal RNA (495 nucleotides) under uncultured bacterium. Its description in RNAcentral is "partial 16S ribosomal RNA". It matches the Rfam family "Bacterial small subunit ribosomal RNA", at positions 28 to 507 of the family's 1533-position model. The record is from RNAcentral.